This 506-nucleotide ribosomal RNA is filed under the name uncultured bacterium. RNAcentral describes it as "bacterial SSU rRNA". It matches the Rfam family "Bacterial small subunit ribosomal RNA", at positions 28 to 523 of the family's 1533-position model. The record is from RNAcentral.
AACGAACGCUGGCGGCGUGCUUAACACAUGCAAGUCGAGCGUGAAAGGCUUCGGCCGAGUAAAGUGGCGCACGGGUGAGUAACGCGUGGGUAAUCUGCCCUUGGGCGGGGGAUAACCUCUCGAAAGGGGGGCUAAUACCGCAUGAGACCACGGCUUCUCGGGGCUGUGGGAAAAGGUGGGUCGCAAGGCCUGCCACCUGAGGAUGAGCCCGCGUACCAUUAGGUUGUUGGUGGGGUAAUGGCCUACCGAGCCGAAGAUGGUUAGCUGGUCUGAGAGGACGAUCAGCCACACUGGGACUGAGACACGGCCCAGACUCCUACGGGAGGCAGCAGUGGGGAAUAUUGCGCAAUGGGGGAAACCCUGACGCAGCAACGCCGCGUGUGUGAAGAAGGUCUUCGGGUCGUAAAGCACUGUUGGGAGGAACGAGCCGCUCGUGGGGAAUAUCUGCGAGCCCGAGGUACCUCCUGAGGAAGCACCGGCUAACUCCGUGCCAGCAGCCGCGGUAA